AGGACGAACGCUGGCGGCGUGCUUAACACAUGCAAGUCGAACGGUGACCCAGGGCUUGCCCUGGUGAUCAGUGGCGAACGGGUGAGUAACACGUGGGCAACCUGCCCCAGACUCUGGGAUAACUUCGGGAAACCGGAGCUAAUACCGGAUACGAAUCGAGUUGGCAUCUACUCGAUUGGAAAGUUUUUCGGUCUGGGAUGGGCCCGCGGCCUAUCAGCUUGUUGGUGGGGUAAUGGCCUACCAAGGCGACGACGGGUA
Molecule: ribosomal RNA, 258 nt
Filed under: uncultured bacterium
Lineage: Bacteria
Description: partial small subunit ribosomal RNA
Rfam family: Bacterial small subunit ribosomal RNA
Source: RNAcentral